AUUGAACGCUGGCGGAAUGCUUUACACAUGCAAGUCGAACGGCAGCACGGGGCAACCCUGGUGGCGAGUGGCGAACGGGUGAGUAAUACAUCGGAACGUGCCCAGUCGUGGGGGAUAACGUAGCGAAAGUUACGCUAAUACCGCAUACGAUCUACGGAUGAAAGCGGGGGACCGUAAGGCCUCGCGCGAUUGGAGCGGCCGAUGUCAGAUUAGGUAGUUGGUGAGGUAAAGGCUCACCAAGCCGACGAUCUGUAGCUGGUCUGAGAGGACGACCAGCCACACUGGGACUGAGACACGGCCCAGACUCCUACGGGAGGCAGCAGUGGGGAAUUUUGGACAAUGGGCGCAAGCCUGAUUCAGCCAUUCCGCGUGCAGGACGAAGGCCUUCGGGUUGUAAACUGCUUUUGUACGGAACGAAAAGGCUCUGGUUAAUACCUGGGGCUCAUGACGGUACCGUAAGAAUAAGCACCGGCUAACUACGUGCCAGCCGCCGCAGUAA
This 499-nucleotide ribosomal RNA is filed under the name uncultured bacterium. RNAcentral's name for it is "partial 16S ribosomal RNA". It matches the Rfam family "Bacterial small subunit ribosomal RNA", at positions 30 to 523 of the family's 1533-position model. The record is from RNAcentral.